CCAGCCAAUUGAUUGUAAACAAGCAAUCACCGCAAUGUUUCGAUGAUCACGCCACACCACCUUCCCACUUUCAGCCGGCCGACGAGAGUGUAUAUAAAGGCGUACGUGCUCUUGAUUUAAGCAUAAUACAUCUUUUUGUGCAGAUAUCAUAAUUUUUGUUUUCACUUUACUCCUCAAAAACCAACCAAAAAUUCAAAAUGGGCGCAGAAAAAGGUAUCCAUGAACAUCGUUGUCGUUGGACAAGUCCAAUCUGCCAAAGCCGUGAAAUCGGUCGCCAAGGCCCACAACAGCCACUAGCCAGCUGAUGAACUGUUGAUUUGUGUAAGUAGUUCAUUCAUCGCAAACUCAAAAAUGCCAUAGCCCAAGCAAUACAAUAUGAAAUUCUGAUUGAUAUUGAUUAAAUUAAAUAAAACAGUUUCUUCGAUA
Long non-coding RNA from Acyrthosiphon pisum (pea aphid), 426 nucleotides. RefSeq lists it as uncharacterized. Lineage: Eukaryota; Metazoa; Arthropoda; Insecta; Hemiptera; Aphididae. The transcript has 4 exons. The record is from RefSeq and is a predicted model, not a curated record.